CCUACGGGUGGCUGCAGUGGGGAAUAUUGGACAAUGGGGGGAACCCUGAUCCAGCCAUGCCGCGUGUGUGAAGAAGGCCCUCGGGUUGUAAAGCACUUUCAGUGAGGAAGAACGCCUGGUGGUUAAUACCCAUCAGGAAAGACAUCACUCACAGAAGAAGCACCGGCUAACUCCGUGCCAGCAGCCGCGGUAAUACGGAGGGUGCGAGCGUUAAUCGGAAUUACUGGGCGUAAAGCGCGCGUAGGUGGCUUGAUAAGCCGGUUGUGAAAGCCCCGGGCUCAACCUGGGAACGGCAUCCGGAACUGUCAAGCUAGAGUGCAGGAGAGGAAGGUAGAAUUCCCGGUGUAGCGGUGAAAUGCGUAGAGAUCGGGAGGAAUACCAGUGGCGAAGGCGGCCUUCUGGACUGACACUGACACUGAGGUGCGAAAGCGUGGGUAGCAAACAGGAUUAGAUACCCCUGUAGUA
Molecule: ribosomal RNA, 465 nt
Filed under: Vreelandella stevensii
Lineage: Bacteria; Pseudomonadati; Pseudomonadota; Gammaproteobacteria; Oceanospirillales; Halomonadaceae
Description: partial 16S ribosomal RNA
Rfam family: Bacterial small subunit ribosomal RNA
Source: RNAcentral